This is a long non-coding RNA of Acinonyx jubatus (cheetah), 489 nucleotides long. RefSeq lists it as uncharacterized. The record is from RefSeq and is a predicted model, not a curated record. Lineage: Eukaryota; Metazoa; Chordata; Mammalia; Carnivora; Felidae. The transcript has 4 exons.
AUUUCUUUUCUUCCAGAACUAUGUGGUAAGCCAGAAGCCACAUACCAUGGUGUGCUGGUAAAUCCACCCUGAGGGGGAAAAAACCCUGAUUUGAAGUGCUUGCUGAUGCCUUUAAGCUACCAAGCUAACAUCACACUCCACACUGAGCAGGAGUUGGGAAGAGGUAUGAACAGUCGUCUCUCCAGAACGUUUCUGGAUUUUGAGCUGGCUGCAGUAAUUGGAAUUGAACUUGGAUUUUCUCUCUUGGGUAGUAGGCAAUUCUCCUCUGAUGUAACGUAUUGAGAUCAUUGUGCCACACCUCAGGAUGGAUACUUGGACAACUGGAGUCAUUGGACUCCAUACUUGGAGUCAACCGGAGACAACAGUUGAGGAAAACCAUUCUAUUUUCAAGAUCACAAAGUCCAUAUUUUUCAUCUUGACCAUGGGUGUUUCAAGAAAAAUACCUCCCUUCUCUCAUUACCAGUGUUCAAGUGCAAUAAAGUAAGACCG